This 369-nucleotide ribosomal RNA is filed under the name uncultured bacterium. RNAcentral describes it as "bacterial SSU rRNA". It matches the Rfam family "Bacterial small subunit ribosomal RNA", at positions 527 to 896 of the family's 1533-position model. The record is from RNAcentral.
GUAGGGUGCGAGCGUUAAUCGGAAUUACUGGGCGUAAAGCGUGCGCAGGCGGUUUGCUAAGACCGAUGUGAAAUCCCCGGGCUUAACCUGGGAACUGCAUUGGUGACUGGCAGGCUAGAGUAUGGCAGAGGGGGGUAGAAUUCCACGUGUAGCAGUGAAAUGCGUAGAGAUGUGGAGGAAUACCGAUGGCGAAGGCAGCCCCCUGGGCCAAUACUGACGCUCAUGCACGAAAGCGUGGGGAGCAAACAGGAUUAGAUACCCUGGUAGUCCACGCCCUAAACGAUGUCAACUAGUUGUUGGGGAUUCAUUUCCUUAGUAACGUAGCUAACGCGUGAAGUUGACCGCCUGGGGAGUACGGUCGCAAGAUUA